AGUGGGGAAUUUUGGACAAUGGGGGCAACCCUGAUCCAGCCAUGCCGCGUGAGUGAAGAAGGCCUUUGGGUUGUAAAGCUCUUUCAGUUGGGAAGAAAAGGUUGUGACUAAUAAUUGCAAUUCAUGACGGUACCAACAGAAGAAGCACCGGCUAACUACGUGCCAGCAGCCGCGGUAAUACGUAGGGUGCGAGCGUUAAUCGGAAUUACUGGGCGUAAAGGGUGCGCAGGCGGUUUUGUAAGUCAGAUGUGAAAUCCCCGGGCUCAACCUGGGAACUGCGUUUGAAACUACAAGACUAGAGUGUAGCAGAGGGGGGUGGAAUUCCACGUGUAGCAGUGAAAUGCGUAGAGAUGUGGAAGAACACCGAUGGCGAAGGCAGCCCCCUGGGUUAACACUGACGCUCAGGCACGAAAGCGUGGGGAGCAAACAGGAUUAGAUACCCUGGUAGUCCACGCCCUAAACGAUGUCAACUAGUUGUCGGGUCUUAUUAGACUUGGUAACGAAGCUA
RNAcentral lists this ribosomal RNA (508 nucleotides) under uncultured bacterium. RNAcentral's name for it is "bacterial SSU rRNA". It matches the Rfam family "Bacterial small subunit ribosomal RNA", at positions 353 to 854 of the family's 1533-position model. The record is from RNAcentral.